AAGAGGAAGCACCUAUGCAUCGCAGAUGCAUAUUAAAAUGGUGCUGACGAAAUGCCGCCGAGUGUAAGCGAGGGGGCGAUACCCAUA
RNAcentral lists this small RNA (87 nucleotides) under unclassified sequences. Its description in RNAcentral is "GA-cis RNA". It matches the Rfam family "GA-cis RNA". The record is from Rfam by way of RNAcentral.